Molecule: long non-coding RNA, 2096 nt
Organism: Dreissena polymorpha
Lineage: Eukaryota; Metazoa; Mollusca; Bivalvia; Myida; Dreissenidae
Exons: 2
Source: RefSeq, a predicted model, not a curated record
UCACUUUGUCCGGACUCUAAUUCAAAUUGUAUUCAUCCGAUCUUCACCAAACUUGGUCAGCAGUUGCAUCUAGUUGAUAUCUAGGCCAAGUUCGAAUAUGGGUCAUGCCGGGUCAAAAACUAGGUCAUAGGGUCAAUAAGUGCAUUUUCAAAGGGGCCACUUUGUCCGGACUCUAUUUCAAAUUGUAUUCAUCCGAUCUUCACCAAACUUGGUCAGCAGUUGCAUCUAGUUGAUAUCUAGGCCAAGUUCGAAUAUGGGUCAUGCCGGGUCAAAAACUAGGUCAUAGGGUCAAUUAGUGCAUUUUCAACGGCGCCACUUUGUCCGGACUCUAAUUCAAAUUGUAUUCAUCCGAUCUUCACCAAAUUUGGUCAGAAGUUGUGUCUAGAUGAUAUGUAGGUCAAGUUCAAAUAUGGGUCAUGCCGGGUCAAAAACUAGGUCACGAGGUUACUUAGUGCAUUUCAAGCAUUUAGCAUGGUGUCCGCUCUCUAAUUGAAGUAGUUUUCAUCUGAUCUUCACCUAAUUUGGUCAGAAGUUGUGUCUAGAUGAUAUGUAGGUCAAGUUCGAACAUGGGUCAUGCCGGGUCAAAAACGAGGUCACAUAGUGCAUUUCAAGCAUUAAGCAUGUUGUCCGCUCUUUAAUUGAAGUAGUUUUCAUCUGAUCUUCACCAAAUUUAGUCAGAUGUUACAUCUAAGUGAUAUCUAGGUCAAGUUCAAAUAUGGGUCAUGCCGGGUCAAUAACUAGGUCUUGAGGACACUUUCAAGCAUUGAGCAUGGUGUCCAAAACCUUCGAACGGGCGUAUCUUGUGACAGUUUGGCACUCUUGUUGUGUAAUAUAUUAAGUGUAAUAUGAAGUGGUAUAAGCUAUAUUAAGUGUACUAUGAAGUGGUAUAAGCUAUAUUAAGUGUAAACUUGUGUAAUUACUGCAUUCCUUUUUUUACUUUGUAUUUUUUUAAAGUACAGCUUAUGGUACAUUAUGUAGAUUGUUUUGUUUCCAUGUACAUUUGUAAAGUUUAUGGCUGUGUUACAAAAUAGAACUGUAAAAUGUUGUGAAUUAUCAUUACUACCUUGUCAUCUAGACUUCAAUAAUAUUUGCCAUAAAAACAGACAUGCAGUGUUGCAUUUUGAAAUGGAACAAAUGUGCUGCAUGUACGUUCAGUGUUGAACAAUUCCACAAGCCCUGGUUGUGUUUCUUUAAAAUCAUCUCUCCAAAAGUUGAAAAAGUAUGUUAGAUAUAAUGAAAUACUCCAUUAUUUAUUCAAUCGUGUAAGAAAAUGUCCAUUCUGUAACACCAAUGUCUAACAGUAUAAUCCUUUGUGUUAACCCUUUACCACUUAGAUACGUAUUUUGACGCAUUUGUAGUCCCUUAGAUAGGUAAAUUUAAAUAAAGACCUUUCUUAUUAGAUUCAAGUUUUUAAGGCUUCAUUUCCAACCCUUAGAUACUGAUGAGCAGCAAACAGCAUAAAACCUGAACAGACUGCGAGUUACUCACAGGCUGUUCUGGUUUAAUGCUGUUUGCACAAAGCCAUUUUCACUUUGCUUCUGAGUGGCAAAGGGUUGACAAUCUACAUUUUGAAUCUUGGUUACACAUAAACAUCAAUUUUGCGUCAAUCACAUACAAACGUCAUUCUGUAUUAAAAAAUAUUUUAAAUAUCUGUUACAGUCUUUGUGUGACGUAUUUAUAUAUUAAAGAAAUAUGGCUGCUAAGCUCCAAUUUCUAUAAAUACUCAAUUUCCAUCUUUUAUGAAUUUCAUUUACCUAUAUUAUCUGAAUUUGUAGGGUUAUGCUUUCUUACAACAGGAUGCUGGUACAGACCUACAGUAUGUUGUUAAAUAAAAAAAACCUUUAGUGCUAAGACAGUGUUUAGUGGAAAUUGUGAUAGUAGCAGUACAUAUGUAGCAUAAAUUGGCUGUGUAACAAAUAUAUGACUGUAACUGUAAAAAGUGAGUUAGCCAUGUAGUUACGUUUGUACAUGUAGUCGACAUCAUCUUUUUCGCACAUUUCAUUUUUGUGAAUCAAAUGUGAACUUGAAAUCUUUGCAUUAUACCUAACUUGUAGUUAAUGAAUAGAUAAUAAAUCUUUUUUAUUAAUAUACAUUCA